Molecule: ribosomal RNA, 290 nt
Filed under: uncultured bacterium
Lineage: Bacteria
Description: partial 16S ribosomal RNA
Rfam family: Bacterial small subunit ribosomal RNA
Source: RNAcentral
GACGAACGCUGGCGGCGUGCUUAACACAUGCAAGUCGAGCGGUAAGGCCCUUUCGGGGGUACGACGAGCGGCGAACGGGUGAGUAACACGUGGGUGACCUGCCCUCAGCUCUGGGAUAAGCCUGGGAAACCGGGUCUAUACUGGAUAUGACUCCAUGACGCAUGUUGUGGGGUGGAAAGCCUUGUGCGGCUGAGGAUGGGCCCGCGGCCUAUCAGCUUGUUGGUGGGGUGANGGCCUACCAAGGCGACGACGGGUAGCCGGCCUGAGAGGGCGACCGGCCACACUGGGAC